CUCAUUCUCUCAUUUUCGUCUUCUGCCCUUUCCCCUCUCUCUCUCGACGAGGAAACCCUAGCCGCCGAUCUCCAUCAUUUUUCUUCUCCAUUAGCCUCCGUAUCUUCACCCCUCGACCGCAACCCACCUCUGAGCGGUGGUUACGCCAAAAUUGAGCUUUUGAGCGGCCGAAAUCCACGUUCUCCGUCUCCACCCUCCACCGCGUUCCACCGCCUCUACCCUCCACUGUCUCCACCACCUCCAUCCGCCUCGUACACCAGGAUCCGCAGAUCUGGAAUUUUCUUUCUCUGAGUUUGAUUUCUAAGUUCUUGAUUUGUUGCUGUCAAAUGGGUAGAAGGACGAGAAACGAGAAAUAGGUAGAAUUUAGGGUUCUUGAUUUGUUGAUUUGUGUUUUUUGUUGCUGAAAGUUUCGUUCUUGAUUUUUUGGAAUUUUGUCUCUCAUAAUUUGCCGAAUUGUUGAAGCUUGAAGGUAAAACAUUGGAGAGGUGAGAGAUGUCAGUGGUGCCUGGAGGGGCUUUCACGCCGGAGCUCAGAAAGAGCGGCGAUGGCUGCCGCCGAUGGAGCUUGUGAGGAAGAAGAAGAAGGGUGCGCCGAUGGAGCUCUGCUUUAUCAAUCCCAUCCCUCUCUCUCUAAACACACAUAUAUAAAUUAAAAGUUUCGAUCUUUAGCUCAGUUUCUCACUUUCUUGAUUGCUUCUGCUUGUUCUCUCACUUUUUUGAUUUUCAUAAUGAUAUUUGGCUGCUGAUGUUCGCUGAAUUCAAUUUGAAAAUUUCAAUUUCAAUUUCA
This 786-nucleotide long non-coding RNA is filed under the name Salvia miltiorrhiza (redroot sage). Its description in RNAcentral is "long non-coding RNA (SMIL_LNC006355)". Lineage: Eukaryota; Viridiplantae; Streptophyta; Magnoliopsida; Lamiales; Lamiaceae. The record is from RNAcentral.